CAAUAGCGUAUAUUUAAGUUGUUGCAGUUAAAAAGCUCGUAGUUGGAUUUCGGAUGGGAUUUGCCGGUCCGUCGUUACGAUGUGCACUGGCCAGUCCUAUCUUGUUGUCGGGGACUAGCUCCUUGGAUUCACUUCCUGGGACUAGGAGCUGACGAGGUUACUUUGAGUAAAUUAGAGUGCUCAAAGCAAGCCUACGCUCUGAAUACAUUAGCAUGGAAUAACACGAUAGGACUCUGGCUUAUCUUGUUGGUCUGUGAGACCAGAGUAAUGAUUAAGGGGGACAGUCGGGGACAUUCGUAUUUCAUUGUCAGAGGUGAAAUUCUUGGAUUUAUGAAAGACGAACUUCUGCGAAAGCAUUUGUCAAGGAUGUUUUCAUUAA
This 379-nucleotide ribosomal RNA is filed under the name uncultured eukaryote. Its description in RNAcentral is "partial 18S ribosomal RNA". It matches the Rfam family "Eukaryotic small subunit ribosomal RNA", at positions 592 to 976 of the family's 1831-position model. The record is from RNAcentral.